RNAcentral lists this small RNA (68 nucleotides) under Verrucomicrobiales bacterium. RNAcentral's name for it is "transfer-messenger RNA". It matches the Rfam family "transfer-messenger RNA". From Rfam's summary of the family: Bacterial tmRNA, also known as 10Sa RNA or SsrA, is named for its dual tRNA and mRNA-like properties. Its role is to liberate the mRNA from a stalled ribosome. Lineage: Bacteria; Pseudomonadati; Verrucomicrobiota; Verrucomicrobiia; Verrucomicrobiales. The record is from RNAcentral.
GGGGAUGAUUGGGAUUCGACUUGCUUCACGGAGCAAGGACUGCGGUUCAACUCCGCACAUCUCCACCA